This 977-nucleotide non-coding RNA is filed under the name Urocolius macrourus. RNAcentral's name for it is "partial 12S ribosomal RNA". It matches the Rfam family "Bacterial small subunit ribosomal RNA". The record is from RNAcentral. Lineage: Eukaryota; Metazoa; Chordata; Aves; Coliiformes; Coliidae.
AAAGACUUAGUCCUAACCUUACCGUUAACUAUCGCUAGACAUAUACAUGCAAGUAUCCGCACCCCAGUGUAAAUGCCCUUAACUUCUCAUUCGAGAUUAAAAGGAGCAGGUAUCAGGCACACCAAAUCGUAGCCCAAGACACCUUGCUCAGCCACACCCCCACGGGUACUCAGCAGUAAUUAACAUUAAGCAAUAAGUGAAAACUUGACUUAGUUAUAGCAAUACCUAGGGUCGGUAAAUCUUGUGCCAGCCACCGCGGUCAUACAAGAAACCCAAGUUAACCAAAUACGGCGUAAAGAGUGGCAUCAUGUUAUCACACAGACUAAGAUCAAAAUACAACUAGGCUGUAAUAAGCUUAAGAUGUACCAAAGACCCCUUUAAAAACAAUCUUAGCCCGCUGCAAGAUCAAUUAACCUCCACGAAAGCCAGGACACAAACUGGGAUUAGAUACCCCACUAUGCCUGGCCUUAAAUCUUGAUACUUACCCCACUAAAGUAUCCGCCUGGGAACUACGAGCACAAACGCUUAAAACUCUAAGGACUUGGCGGUGCCCCAAACCCACCUAGAGGAGCCUGUUCUGUAAUCGAUAACCCACGAUCCACCUAACCACUUCUUGCCCAAACAGCCUACAUACCGCCGUCCCCAGCUCGCCUUAACUGAAAGCACAACAGCAAGCACAACAGCCACAACCCACGCUAGUAAGACAGGUCAAGGUAUAGCUUAUGAAGUGGAAGAAAUGGGCUACAUUUUCUAACCAUAGAACAUUCACGAAAAGAGGAGUGAAACCCUCCCCUAGAAGGCGGAUUUAGCAGUAAAGAGAGACAAUUAAACUUCCUUUAAGACGGCCCUGGGGCACGUACAUACCGCCCGUCACCCUCCUCACACACUACCCACCAACAAUACAUAAUACAAGUAUCAACCACAAGACGAGGUAAGUCGUAACAAGGUAAGUGUACUGGAAAGUGCACUUAGCACAC